UACGUAGGGCGCAAGCGUUGUCCGGAAUUAUUGGGCGUAAAGAGCUCGUAGGCGGCCUGUUGCGUCCGCUGUGAAAUCCCGGGGCUCAACCCCGGGCGUGCAGUGGAUACGGGCUGGCUGGAGGCAGGCAGGGGAGAACGGAAUUCCUGGUGUAGCGGUGAAAUGCGCAGAUAUCAGGGGGAACACCGGUGGCGAAGGCGGUUCUCUGGGCUUGUACUGACGCUGAGGAGCGAAAGCGUGGGGAGCGAACAGG
This 253-nucleotide ribosomal RNA is filed under the name uncultured bacterium. RNAcentral's name for it is "partial 16S ribosomal RNA". It matches the Rfam family "Bacterial small subunit ribosomal RNA", at positions 524 to 776 of the family's 1533-position model. The record is from RNAcentral.